This 1761-nucleotide ribosomal RNA is filed under the name Triticum aestivum (bread wheat). RNAcentral describes it as "partial small subunit ribosomal RNA". Lineage: Eukaryota; Viridiplantae; Streptophyta; Magnoliopsida; Poales; Poaceae. The record is from RNAcentral.
AUGGCUCCAAUCCGACGCGCCGCGCAGCGGCCGGACUUCGCGUCCCACCCUUCUGACCUCGAGCUCAUCAGCACGUACCUCAUCCCCUGGGUCAGCACCGGCGAGCGCCCCUGGAAGUUCGUCCACGAGGCCGAUGUCUACGCCGCCACGCCGCAGGACCUCGCCCGCGCCUACGCCCCGGCCACGGCCAGCGACGGCCAGGAGAGCUGGUACUUCUUCACGUCCCUGCGGGCCAAGAGCCGCCGCGGCCAGCGCAAGGCCCGCACCGUCGGAUCCGGGGACCACGGCUGCUGGCACUCGGAGCGCGCCGCCAAGCCCCUCUUCGCCGGCAUCGGCCACAGCCGCCAGAUCGGGUACCGCCAGGCCUUCUCCUUCGCGACCAAGGAGGACGGCCGCCUGGUCCGCUCGGGGUGGCUCAUGGCCGAGAUCGGCCUCAACCCCGACGCCUCCGCGGAGGAGGAGCUCGUCCUCUGCAAGGUGUAUCGGAGCCCGCGCGUCGGGACAGGCCAGAGAUCUACGGCGCCGGCCGCUACCGGAGUUGGACCCGUCAGGAUUGGAAGGGGAAAGGCGAGCGAGGAGGACUCUACCUCGUCUGAAGAGGGGACGCCAAGGGCUGCUGGGCCCGGCUGCUAUUCGGCCCAGCAGCCCGCUCGAGUCUCCGCGUCCACUUCAGGUACCCUGUCCAUGGAGGAGUCCGACUCCGAGCAGGGUUCGACCAGCCGAGGCGGCGGAGUGAUUGGCACGUCGCCGUCCGCCACUCCGCCUCGGGUUCCCCGUUCCAAGGCCCUUCGAGCUGCUCAGCUUCCCCGGAUCCCGACGGUUCCCGCGGCGCAGCGCCCGGACUUCGCUUCUCACCCUUCGGACCAAGUGCUGAUCAAGUCCUACCUCACCCCGCGUGUCGCCUCCGGCCAACACCCGUGCCAGUUCACGCACGAUGUCGACGUCUACACCGCCAGCCCGGGCGCCCUCACCAGGAAGUACUCCCCGACGAUGGCAAGCGACGGCGAGAAGGCCUGGUACUUCUUCACCCUCCUGCCGGCCAAGAGCGCCCACGGCCAGCGGCGGCCGCGCACGGUGGGCACCGGGGAGGGGUGCUGGCACUCGGAGGCCGGCGUGAAGCCUGUUCUCGACGGCGACCAUCCGAUCGGAUGGCGACAGUUCUUCUCCUUCAUGACCAAGGAGGAAGGCCAGCGUGUCCGGAGCAUCCGGUCGGGAUGGAUCAUGGUUGAGAUCGGCCUCGACCAUGGCAAAGAAGAAGGCCCCUCGGACGAGCUCGUCCUGUGCAAGGUGUACCGCAGCCCGCGCGCCGGCCCGGUGGAACCCCCAGCGGCGGCUGGACGAAAGAGGAAAUCCGGCGACAACUACUCUGGCCCAGCGGCGCCCGUGCUGACGCUGGGGCCCGCGGCCGGUGCCAGGAAUUCUACGGCGGCGUCGGCAUCUUCCUCCGGGCACAAGAAGAGGAAGACCCACAGCAGGAACUCCAGUCCCGUGCUGAGGACCGCGCGCGGCGUCCUGAAGUUGACGAGGCCGGUGACGUCUGGGCGCAACAAGAACACCAGCGCGGACCGAUGCGCUCGCUGUGGGAUGGAGCCAGCGUUGUCGCGCCGCGGAACGCCCGAUGCUGCUGCCGAGGAGGAAGACGGCUCGGAGACGGAUCUUGACGAGGACGACCCAAUGACCGGCGAGUCCGGUGCACCCCAUUGCCACAAAGCAGGUGAAUCUUCAGGACGCGCCAGACCGUUCUACCAGUUCAAGAUUUGA